Molecule: ribosomal RNA, 623 nt
Filed under: Salmonella enterica
Lineage: Bacteria; Pseudomonadati; Pseudomonadota; Gammaproteobacteria; Enterobacterales; Enterobacteriaceae
Also listed under: 1 other name
Description: partial 23S ribosomal RNA
Rfam family: Bacterial large subunit ribosomal RNA
Source: RNAcentral
AUGGAGCCGACCUUGAAAUACCACCCUUUAAUGUUUGAUGUUCUAACGUGGACCCGUUACCCGGGUUGCGGACAGUGUCUGGUGGGUAGUUUGACUGGGGCGGUCUCCUCCUAAAGAGUAACGGAGGAGCACGAAGGUUGGCUAAUCCUGGUCGGACAUCAGGAGGUUAGUGCAAUGGCAUAAGCCAGCUUGACUGCGAGCGUGACGGCGCGAGCAGGUGCGAAAGCAGGUCAUAGUGAUCCGGUGGUUCUGAAUGGAAGGGCCAUCGCUCAACGGAUAAAAGGUACUCCGGGGAUAACAGGCUGAUACCGCCCAAGAGUUCAUAUCGACGGCGGUGUUUGGCACCUCGAUGUCGGCUCAUCACAUCCUGGGGCUGAAGUAGGUCCCAAGGGUAUGGCUGUUCGCCAUUUAAAGUGGUACGCGAGCUGGGUUUAGAACGUCGUGAGACAGUUCGGUCCCUAUCUGCCGUGGGCGCUGGAGAACUGAGGGGGGCUGCUCCUAGUACGAGAGGACCGGAGUGGACGCAUCACUGGUGUUCGGGUUGUCAUGCCAAUGGCACUGCCCGGUAGCUAAAUGCGGAAGAGAUAAGUGCUGAAAGCAUCUAAGCACGAAACUUGCCCCGA